CGUUCGAUAGCUCAGUUGGUAGAGCGGGGGACUGUGGAUCCCUAGGUCACUGGUUCAAAUCCGGUUAGAAGGA
RNAcentral lists this transfer RNA (73 nucleotides) under Dendronephthya gigantea. RNAcentral's name for it is "tRNA-His". It matches the Rfam family "tRNA". From Rfam's summary of the family: Transfer RNA (tRNA) molecules are approximately 80 nucleotides in length. The record is from RNAcentral. Lineage: Eukaryota; Metazoa; Cnidaria; Anthozoa; Malacalcyonacea; Nephtheidae.